GUUAAGAAGCAUUCAAGGAAGCUUUGUUCUAAUCUUGUCAUCAUCUUUUCUCACCAUCAUCUUCACUAUGAUUCUUCCCUAGCUUGAAGCUAGUAUCGUGUUUGCUGAGGAGAUUUGGGUUACAAGUACCGAAGACGCAAUACAAUUUUUACAGAUACUUUUAUACAUGGUAUGAUUAGCUAGGGAAUUUACUGUUAGAUCACGUGAAUGGAUAGGCUAUUAUCGUAAGACCAUUAAUCCUUGUAUAAGGACCGAUAGGCAUGAGUGAUAGAUCUAUUGGGUGUUGCGAGCCCCACAAAUGGACCAGCGUGUGGCUGCAUGUGGUGACUAUGUCGUUCCGCCGGAAGGACCGGUAUGAAGUACGCGUUACAGGAAAUUAAGUAUGGAUCUGGCG
This 394-nucleotide long non-coding RNA is filed under the name Helianthus annuus (common sunflower). Its description in RNAcentral is "sRNA HanXRQr2_Chr06g0253411". The record is from RNAcentral. Lineage: Eukaryota; Viridiplantae; Streptophyta; Magnoliopsida; Asterales; Asteraceae.